This 440-nucleotide ribosomal RNA is filed under the name uncultured bacterium. RNAcentral's name for it is "partial 16S ribosomal RNA". It matches the Rfam family "Bacterial small subunit ribosomal RNA", at positions 338 to 795 of the family's 1533-position model. The record is from RNAcentral.
CCUACGGGUGGCUGCAGUGGGGAAUAUUGCACAAUGGGGGAAACCCUGAUGCAGCAACGCCGCGUGAGUGAAGAAGUAUUUCGGUAUGUAAAGCUCUAUCAGCAGGGAAGAAAAUGACAGUACCUGACUAAGAAGCCCCGGCUAACUACGUGCCAGCAGCCGCGGUAAUACGUAGGGGGCAAGCGUUAUCCGGAUUUACUGGGUGUAAAGGGAGCGUAGACGGCUGCGCAAGUCAGAAGUGAAAGCCCGGGGCUCAACCGCGGGACUGCUUUUGAAACUGUGUAGCUAGAGUGCAGGAGGGGCAGGCGGAAUUCCUGGUGUAGCGGUGAAAUGCGUAGAUAUCAGGAGGAACACCGGUGGCGAAGGCGGCCUGCUGGACUGCAACUGACGUUGAGGCCCGAAAGCGUGGGGAGCAAACAGGAUUAGAUACCCGGGUAGUC